UACGUAGGUGGCAAGCGUUGUCCGGAAUUACUGGGCGUAAAGGGAGCGUAGGCGGAUGCUUAAGUGAGAUGUGAAAUACCCGGGCUUAACUUGGGUGCUGCAUUUCAAACUGGGCAUCUAGAGUGCAGGAGAGGAAAGUGGAAUUCCUAGUGUAGCGGUGAAAUGCGUAGAGAUUAGGAAGAACACCAGUGGCGAAGGCGGCUUUCUGGACUGUAACUGACACUGAGGCAUGAAAGCGUGGGGAGCAAAC
This 250-nucleotide ribosomal RNA is filed under the name uncultured bacterium. Its description in RNAcentral is "partial 16S ribosomal RNA". It matches the Rfam family "Bacterial small subunit ribosomal RNA", at positions 524 to 773 of the family's 1533-position model. The record is from RNAcentral.